Non-coding RNA from Paramuricea clavata, 398 nucleotides. Lineage: Eukaryota; Metazoa; Cnidaria; Anthozoa; Malacalcyonacea; Plexauridae. The record is from the annotation of a GenBank genome assembly.
CCGCAACUAGAAUUCCAACAUUUUUGCAAAAGCCUGGUUUCCAUACGUGGUUGUAACUGUCGCGUGUUUGUCGUGAAUGAUUUUUAUGCGUGUUUCCAUAUGGUAGUGUAACUGUCGUGACACUGUCGUAAGUUAAUUUCGUGGCCAGGGCCGGAUUGUACAAGCAGUUGGCGACAGUUUUAAAAAGACAAACACGGUCCCCCCAAAGGGGAACUUUGCCCCCCCCCCCGAUUGUCGCAAAACUGUUGCCACGCUGUCGUUUUUCUGUUUUCAUUAAAACAUAACCGUCACGACACGUUUUUAUUUUACUGUUGUCGCCGGAUAGAAUUCGAGCCUAUCUCGACGACGCUGUUGUAACUGUCGUGAACUGUUGCCAGCGUGUCGCGACAAGACUUUUC